Long non-coding RNA from Bufo bufo (common toad), 476 nucleotides. RefSeq lists it as uncharacterized. The transcript is spliced from 4 exons. NCBI's taxonomy places the organism in Eukaryota, Metazoa, Chordata, Amphibia, Anura, Bufonidae. The record is from RefSeq and is a predicted model, not a curated record.
CACUAGUCUCCCCAUACAUGUAGUGUCCAGAGGUGGAGGUAUGUGUCCAGUCACCGCCCUCCUCUGUCAGGAUUACUGGGGCAGGUAAUGACUGGAGUGUAUGGGCUGCCGGGAGGUGUAGGUCAUGUGACUCUGGGACGUGUGGUGAUGACGUUAGUUCAUGGUGAGAGAUAACGGACAUGUUAAAAUAGAGCGGUCUCCGCUCACCGGACCCUCGCAGGACGCACGGAGCGAGAACAGCAGAAGAGACGGAGAAUUCCAGCCCCAAAGUUCCUACAAUAUAGGAUCUGCUCGGUGGAUAUCUUCUAUAUAAGAUCCUUCUCCUUAUUUAACUGUCAAGGAUGGAUAGGGACAGGGACAAAAUGGUGGAGAGUCUAAUAAGCCUCACCCUAGAGAUCCUCUUCCGGCUUACUGGAGAGGACUACACAGUAGUGAAGAAGACCUCUAGUGAGCGCUGUCGGGACCCUGUGUCUAAA